RNAcentral lists this ribosomal RNA (250 nucleotides) under uncultured prokaryote. RNAcentral describes it as "partial 16S ribosomal RNA". It matches the Rfam family "Bacterial small subunit ribosomal RNA", at positions 524 to 774 of the family's 1533-position model. The record is from RNAcentral.
UACGGAGGAUGCGAGCGUUAUCCGGAUUUAUUGGGUUUAAAGGGUGCGCAGGCGGCGGAACAAGUCAGCGGUCAAAAUUCGGGGCUCAACCCCGUCUCGCCGUUGAAACUGUUCAGCUGGAGUUCGUGCGAGGAUGGCGGAAUGCGCGGUGUAGCGGUGAAAUGCAUAGAUAUCGCGCAGAACCCCGAUUGCGAAGGCAGCUGUCCAGCACGCGACUGACGCUCAUGCACGAAAGCGUGGGUAUCGAACA